Long non-coding RNA from Marmota monax (woodchuck), 819 nucleotides. RefSeq lists it as uncharacterized. The transcript has 3 exons. NCBI's taxonomy places the organism in Eukaryota, Metazoa, Chordata, Mammalia, Rodentia, Sciuridae. The record is from RefSeq and is a predicted model, not a curated record.
UUUAUUCCUGUCUAUUUCUAUUUCUCUCAGUUUCUCAAAGAAAUUCCUCCUGUUUUACACUUGUAUACAAUUAUCAUUAGAGACAGCCUUUGGUAGGUCAGGCAACAUCUGUCUAGUUUCACUUUCCACCACGUGAGACUCAAUCAUUCUGCUUGAACUCAAUGCAGCAAUACCUCUGACUCCUCAGCAAGCCCUAACACAUCCACACAGCUGUUGAACAUGAGAGCCAGCUCAGCCCGUUGGCCCAGAUCUGUACUUUAUUUACAUUAGUGAGGGGUAUGGCUAACCACAUUUGUUCUAUCACCUAGGUGACAAAACAUUCCCCCAACAGCACCCUUUUGCUGUGAUUAUAGAUUUUCUCCAUUAAUGGAGAAGGUGAAAACAGACCCACCUAUUUAUUACCUAUCGACUUGCUCAAGAGAUGGCCAGCAAUUGUUCAUACUACUAAAAUAAUUAUGAUGGAAACACAGAUUAAGCAUUCGACAAAAAAUCUGUAUGAUCUCAGGGAUGAGAAGGAGAAUGUUUCCAGGUUCUUCAUUCAGACUUUGUUGACACCCAAGGGAAGAGGAGUUACUUCUUGCUGCUUAAUACAAUUCAUCAACUCCACAUUUUACUCCUCAAUGAAACAAAGAAAUGAAAGAAGUUUUGAGAGAUGUUAAAGCCCAUUGAAGAGGAUAUGGCAUAGGGUCUCCCAGAAUGGAUUGGAAAAAGAGUAUUCCAACCUCAUUUUUAAGUUACUUUUGGUUUGAAAUCUAAAGGAGGAAAUAUAUUUAUAAUGACUUUUACUUCAUAUUAUUUCAGGCAUAUAUGCUUUUCAUA